Molecule: small RNA, 884 nt
Filed under: Pongo abelii (Sumatran orangutan)
Lineage: Eukaryota; Metazoa; Chordata; Mammalia; Primates; Hominidae
Description: processed transcript
Source: RNAcentral
GGGUGAGGUGUGGAGUGUGGCUGGCCACCAGCCUGCAGGAGGGAGGGCUGGAAGGUGGGGAUGUGGGGAAGGGCUGGAGAAGAAAAGAGAAAUACAUGCCUUGAAUCACAACUUCCUCUCAACAAGGCUGUUAGGGCCCUGGGUGGUGGUGGGAUCAUCAGCUGGGAGUGGGGUGUCUGAGCAUGGCUGGCCAUCUGCCUACUGAUCCCAGAGCUCUCAGCCCAGCUGAGGCUGCACAUGUGGACCUUCUGCAUCCUGGUACCUCCUGGCCCGAUCAGGCUCAGUGUCUGUUGCUUUCCAGAACCCCGGCUACUAUGACAUUCAGGCCAAGGACCUGGGCAUCUGGCAUGUGCCCAACAAGUCCCCCAUGCAGCAUUGGAGAAACAGCGCCCUGCUGAGGUACCGCACCAACACUGGCUUCCUCCAGAGACUGGGACAUAAUCUGUUUGGCAUCUACCAGAAAUACCCAGUGAAAUACAGAUCAGGGAAAUGUUGGAAUGACAAUUGCCCAGACAUACCUGUGGUCUAUGACUUUGGUGAUGCUAAGAAGACUGCAUCUUAUUACUCACCGUAUGGUCAACGGGAAUUUGUUGCAGGAUUCAUUCAGUUCCAGGUGUUUAAUAAGGAGAGAGCAGCCAACGCCCUUUGUGCUGGGAUAAAAGUUACUGGCUGUAACACUGAGCAUCACUGCAUCGGUGGAGGAGGGUUCUUCCCAUAGGGCAAGCCUCGUCAGUGUGGGGACUUCUCCGCCUUUGACUGGGAUGGAUAUGGAGCUCACAUUAAGAGCAGCUGUAGUCAGGAGAUAAUGGAGGUGGCUGAACUCUUGUUCUAUAGAUGAGACAGAGCUCUGAGGUGUCAGGGAGAGAACCCAUCUUCCAACCCCG